GUUGUAUGUCACGUGUGUUGUCGUUGCUGAGUGGUUAAGGUGAUGGACUAGAAAUCCAUUGAGUUUCCACUGAGAUUCUAUUGAGAUGUGAACUGAAGACCUUGGACCUGAAAGACUUGGAAGAUGUCACCUUGGACUCUGAGACUGGAUGAUGUAGCCUAUAUUUUGUCACUUUGACAUUUCAUAUGUCGAGGUUAUAAAAGUAAAUUUAUUUAUGAA
Molecule: long non-coding RNA, 219 nt
Organism: Micropterus dolomieu (smallmouth bass)
Lineage: Eukaryota; Metazoa; Chordata; Actinopteri; Centrarchiformes; Centrarchidae
Exons: 2
Source: RefSeq, a predicted model, not a curated record